CUAAAACGUCCGUAGCCGGUCUGAUACAUUCGUGGGUAAAUCAACCAGCUCAACUGGUUGAAUUCUGCGAGGACGGCCAGACUUGGGACCGGGAGAGGUGUGGGGUACUCUCAGGGUAGGGGUAAAAUCCUGUCAUCCUGAGAGGACCACCUGUUGCGAAGGCGCCACACUAGAACGGAUCCGACGGUCAGGGACGAAGCCUAGGGGCACGAACCGGAUUAGAUACCCGGGUAGUCCUAGGUGUAAACGCUGUGGACUUGAUGUUGGGGGUGCUCCGAGCACUCUCAGUGUCGAAGCGAAGGUGAUAAGUCCACUGCCUGGGAAGUACGGUCGCAAGGCUGAAACUUAAAGGAAUUGGCGGGGGAGCACAAG
This 372-nucleotide ribosomal RNA is filed under the name uncultured archaeon. RNAcentral describes it as "bacterial SSU rRNA". It matches the Rfam family "Archaeal small subunit ribosomal RNA", at positions 510 to 882 of the family's 1478-position model. The record is from RNAcentral.